RNAcentral lists this transfer RNA (78 nucleotides) under Candidatus Heimdallarchaeota archaeon. RNAcentral's name for it is "tRNA-Arg". It matches the Rfam family "tRNA". From Rfam's summary of the family: Transfer RNA (tRNA) molecules are approximately 80 nucleotides in length. The record is from RNAcentral. Lineage: Archaea; Promethearchaeati; Candidatus Heimdallarchaeota.
GGACCAAUAGUCUAGUAUGGAUAAGGCUCCGGCCUCCGGAGCCGGAAUUCGCAGGUUCAAAUCCUGCUUGGUCCGCCA